UACGAAGGGGGCUAGCGUUGCUCGGAAUCACUGGGCGUAAAGGGUGCGUAGGCGGGUUUUUAAGUCAGGGGUGAAAUCCUGGAGCUCAACUCCAGAACUGCCUUUGAUACUGAGGAUCUUGAGUUCGGGAGAGGUGAGUGGAAUUCCCAGUGUAGAGGUGAAAUUCGUAGAUAUUGGGAAGAACACCGGUGGCGAAGGCGGCUCACUGGCCCGUAACUGACGCUCAUGCACGACAGCGUGGGGAUCAAACAGG
Molecule: ribosomal RNA, 253 nt
Filed under: uncultured bacterium
Lineage: Bacteria
Description: partial 16S ribosomal RNA
Rfam family: Bacterial small subunit ribosomal RNA
Source: RNAcentral